RNAcentral lists this non-coding RNA (45 nucleotides) under Schistosoma curassoni. The record is from RNAcentral. Lineage: Eukaryota; Metazoa; Platyhelminthes; Trematoda; Strigeidida; Schistosomatidae.
UUCUAACUGACGAGUCCAAAAUGGGACGAAACGCGCGUCCUGCAU